GCACUCGGCGGCUUAAAGCCUGCGGGCCGGAGCUCGGCUGACCCACCGAGAGCCGACUUGGCUACGCAGAAUGGAAGAACCUUAGAGGGCAUGUGGUGUAUUGUCUGCACGGCUUGUUUCCGGAAAAGAGUUGUUGUCUCCCCAGUCUCGGCCUGGGGAAGGCGCUGGCUAGCGGGAGGUUAAAGAAGUUAGUUCUCCAGGUAGUCGCUCUCUACUGUAUUUCACAGAGCUGGACGGGAAUGACUUAGCUGACCAAUCUCACGUAGAACUCCAGCAUCAAGCAGGAAUCCCAGAAAAACCAUCUGAACCCCUGCACAUCCAGACGUCACCUACUAGAUGGCACAACUACAGUGGCACACCUCCCUAGAUGUCACUUAAUGCGAUCUGAAGAACCUGAUACACAGACUCCAAGGACAGAACUUUCUUAAUGCUUGCUUGCCGUUCCUGCUUCUGAUUUGCCUGUCACGUGUUGGCGGUUCCAGCUGGCUAUCUACAGAAAAGCAGAAUUCCAGCGGCUGACCUCCCUCAUGCAGCGUCUCAUCCCCUGCCAAUUCUUCCCCUAGCCAUCUACUUUGGACUGAGAUUUGUAUCGGACUUUCUGGCAUACCCUAUAGACAUUUUACACAAUUUUAAAGCAGCUUAUUUCCUUUCACGCUGCUGGUUUUUCAUAGACUGAUCCUGAGUAGUUCAUAGACUUUACAGACUGUUGCCUUGAGGACUAUACAA
Molecule: long non-coding RNA, 726 nt
Organism: Erinaceus europaeus (western European hedgehog)
Lineage: Eukaryota; Metazoa; Chordata; Mammalia; Eulipotyphla; Erinaceidae
Exons: 2
Source: RefSeq, a predicted model, not a curated record